Molecule: ribosomal RNA, 301 nt
Filed under: uncultured bacterium
Lineage: Bacteria
Description: partial 16S ribosomal RNA
Rfam family: Bacterial small subunit ribosomal RNA
Source: RNAcentral
CAGUCGCCGCGGUAAUACGAGGGGAGCUAGCGUUGUUCGGAAUUACUGGGCGUAAAGCGCGCGUAGGCGGCUUUUUAAGUCAGAGGUGAAAGCCCGGGGCUCAACCCCGGAAUUGCCUCUGAAACUGGAAAGCUAGAAUCUUGGAGAGGUCAGUGGAAUUCCGAGUGUAGAGGUGAAAUUCGUAGAUAUUCGGAAGAACACCAGUGGCGAAGGCGACUGACUGGACAAGUAUUGACGCUGAGGUGCGAAAGCGUGGGGAGCAAACAGGAUUAGAUACCCGAGUAGUCCCUGUCUCUUAUAC